CGCGUAGGCGGUAUGGUCAGUCGGAUGUGAAAGCCCCGGGCUCAACCUGGGAAUUGCAUUCGAUACUGCCAAACUAGAAUAUGGGAGAGGCAAGUGGAAUUUCCGGUGUAGCGGUGAAAUGCGUAGAUAUCGGAAGGAACACCAGUGGCGAAGGCGGCUUGCUGGCCCAAUAUUGACGCUGAGGUGCGAAAGCGUGGGUAGCGAACAGGAUUAGAUACCCUGGUAGUCC
This 229-nucleotide ribosomal RNA is filed under the name uncultured bacterium. Its description in RNAcentral is "partial 16S ribosomal RNA". It matches the Rfam family "Bacterial small subunit ribosomal RNA", at positions 568 to 796 of the family's 1533-position model. The record is from RNAcentral.